UCCAGUUCAAUUAUACAGUCCCAAAUAAUAAAAAAUGCAAAAAAUAUAAAUCAUAUUCUAACCUACACUAAUCCUAAACUAUGCUCCAAUGCUUUACCAGAUGUCUUGAGCCUUGAUCACGAACCUUCUUCGAAGACAUAAUACGUCGGGGUAUCCCCCGGUGAAUAAACACAUGAAACCUUGGGGCAUUCCCUAACCAAAUGAAUACAUUUGAAUCAAGUACGAUAAACUAGCAAACAUUCAACACAUAUUCCACAUCCAAACAUUCAACAAAACACUUAUUCCUAAAUUUUGCCUACCCGAACCUAUAUUUGCCUACCAAUUUUGACCUAUCACGAUACUAUCAUGUUUAACAACAUAAACAUUUAUUUCAAAUCAAACCACUAACAGGAAUCAAAAUAAAUUCACGUCCACACAUAUCAAUGUCAAUACCUCCACAAAUUAAAAUCUACUCCAAAUGAGUUCAAAUCAUUUCCGAUUAAUUAACCAAUUUCAACAUAGAAUCACCCAAAACAAUUAAAGUUACUCAACCAACAAUCAAGAUCACUUCAUCAACCAAAGCAUUCCAUCCAUAACACUGGAUAUCGUAAACAAAGAAAUAAAAGAAUAGAGAUUAAAAAUGGACCUCGAUUCGGAACUUUUGGAGAAUAUUACUUGAUAAAAUAAAGAAAUCCACCUCCGAGAACCUCAACUCGAGCCACAAAAAUGACAAAGAUCUUCUCGGUAUCUAUAAAUAAGGAUCGAAAUCAACCCAAUCUCUCUGAAUUACCAUUGACUCCGGUGGUUCUAGCGUUUUCAGGCUAAGACGUCCAAAAAUCAAAGGAAAAAAAGGAAAUCUCGAUGAUUUUGAGACUGAUUCGAUCGAACUGAUGAUGAAAACUAAUUUCAGCACUGAUAUCAUCGGAAACAGCUCGAAAAAAGGCUGGUUUUCUCGCUGUUUUUCGAGUCCUUUGCUGAAUCUCCAUCGAACACCCUCUACUCCCUCAUUUUCUCCUUCAAUCCCACCAUUUUCUUACUUUACCCUUGUACGCAUCGCUUUUUCAUUGAAGACGAGUCUGGUGAGAUAUCGGCACCGGUGGCUGUGCCAUUCGUGUCGCGACCUUGCCUAUUCUCUCUCCUCUCUCGCUGGUUUGCCCCGAUCUACUCCCUCCGUUCUCUACUCUCUCUCUUCAUUAAUCUCUUUUUGUUACUCACUGUUAUGUGUAUCUGUGCAUUAAUAAAUUCGUUGUGUAUUUAUGUGUAGUGUGUAUAUGGUAUAUGGAAGAAGAGAAGAUGGUCAAUGUAUGUUGUGUGUGUUGUGUGUCAAUGGAAUAGAAAAAUGUUGAAGUUUUUCGUGUGGGAUUCUGUAAGCUUUUUUGUGUAUUUUCUCGUGUAUGUCGCGUUUUUCGGUCGCCCUCCCUUUUUUCGGUGAGAUCUUUAUAUGUCUGUAUCUAUAUCUCCUCUCUAUUCGUUACCCUCUCUCUCUCGAUCUACUCCAUUUUUCUCUAUGUAUGUGCGAUUUAGUGUGAAGAUAUGUGUGUGUGUCGAGAGGAAGAAAAAAAAAGAGAAAAGAAUGAAAUCUCUAUGGGUGAAUUGUGUGUGCGCGUUCUGUCGUGAAGAAGAAAACUAAAAGAAAAAUGGAGUUUUUUUCUUUUUUUUCCUUCUCUCUCAGAUCUCUGUGUGUGUGUUUAUGGUGUAUUGUGAGAGGACGAUGGAUGAUCUCUACGUAUUAUUUUUUCUUGUGUUUGUAUAACCGUGAGGUUUGGGUGGGGACCACGUGGGG
Molecule: long non-coding RNA, 1762 nt
Filed under: Capsicum annuum
Lineage: Eukaryota; Viridiplantae; Streptophyta; Magnoliopsida; Solanales; Solanaceae
Description: long non-coding RNA (CANN_LNC001809)
Source: RNAcentral